This 392-nucleotide ribosomal RNA is filed under the name uncultured Gammaproteobacteria bacterium. RNAcentral describes it as "bacterial SSU rRNA". It matches the Rfam family "Bacterial small subunit ribosomal RNA", at positions 370 to 779 of the family's 1533-position model. Lineage: Bacteria; Pseudomonadati; Pseudomonadota; Gammaproteobacteria. The record is from RNAcentral.
AAUGGGCGCAAGCCUGAUCCAGCCAUGCCGCGUGAGUGAUGAAGGCCCUAGGGUCGUAAAGCUCUUUCGCCAGAGAUGAUAAUGACAGUAUCUGGUAAAGAAACCCCGGCUAACUCCGUGCCAGCAGCCGCGGUAAUACGGAGGGGGUUAGCGUUGUUCGGAAUUACUGGGCGUAAAGCGCACGUAGGCGGAUCAGAAAGUAUGAGGUGAAAUCCCGGGGCUCAACUCCGGAACUGCCUUGUAAACUCCUGGUCUUGAGUUCGAGAGAGGUGAGUGGAAUUCCGAGUGUAGAGGUGAAAUUCGUAGAUAUUCGGAGGAACACCAGUGGCGAAGGCGGCUCACUGGCUCGAUACUGACGCUGAGGUGCGAAAGUGUGGGGAGCAAACUGGAUU